This 463-nucleotide long non-coding RNA is filed under the name Brassica napus (rape). RNAcentral's name for it is "long non-coding RNA (BNAP_LNC019062)". Lineage: Eukaryota; Viridiplantae; Streptophyta; Magnoliopsida; Brassicales; Brassicaceae. The record is from RNAcentral.
UGGAGGUCCAUGAUUUGAUGUCAAAAAGUUCAAUUUAAUAAGUUUGAGUUCAGAAACAAAAAUAUCAACUUAUGGAGGACCGGAAGUGAAAAUAAGCUAAGUUUGACCGUUGUUGCUCUUCGAUCGAGCUGCACUUCGAUCCGCGACGGCGAGGCUUGACUCGAAGACGUCGAAGCUAGCUUCUCAAGACAACACAGAGGAUAUUGACGGAGGAGAUUGUCGUGGCCAUGGAUUCCGGUCAGAGUCUGCUGACUUGGAGCUGCGAUGGAGAUGGCGGCGUGAGGUACAGAGUGUGGCGCAGCCUAUCAACGGUAACUCAGCUCAAAUCUAAAGAUUUAGGUUAAAUCUUUAGAGACCUGACUUCUUGAAUCGAAGAAUUUAAUCAAAUUCGAUACAAGGCUCUCGUAUUGACGACAGAAUCGAAUCAAUGCAAGGCUUUAGAGAAACUCUAGUUUAUUAUCUU